AAUGCAUUCCUAUCCCUGCAAAUAUAGUGAAUUGCAAAUGUAUUUCUAUAAAAUUCAACUUUUAUAUGUUGUUGUCCCUUCAAAAGUUCUAAUAUUUUUAUAUAUAUCCCUCUGAUUUGUUACCGUAAUAGAACUGUUUUAUAUUUUAAGUGAAAUGUCAAUUUUGCCAUCACAAAUUGUUGAGCCAGUUAGGCGUGAACAGCUGGCACGCCGGGUUCAUAUCAGUAAGACGGCUAAAAUGGUAGACCUAGAGUACACCGGAUGCACGCGAGCCGCGCUGGAUCCAGUUAGGCGUGAACAGCUGGCACGCCGGGUUCAUAUCAGUAAGACGGCUAAAAUGGUAGACCUAGAGUACACCGGAUGCACGCGAGCCGCGCUGGAUCGAGGAGUUGUAGCAACCGCAAGCAGUUACGAGCGGUUCUGAUCGGCUAAAGGUGGUCCUACAAUUCAGGAGAUAGUGGCUGAUCGUGCAAGAGGGAUAACUAACGCAAGGGCAAUUCUAUAAAUAGGCAUACGAUACCCUGAAAAGAGGUCUUCGCCCCUGCGCAUAAAAGAUCACAUUUAUUUUUCUGCAUCUUUCUUUUCUGCAUUUACCGCUUUGCAUUAGGAGUAGUUUCUCCCGUAAUCUAGCAUACUCGGAGUCUGUCUGCCCUACGGGCAUCACUCCCCUGUUCUCAUACUCGGAGUCUGUCUGCCCUACGAGCAUCACUCCCCUGUUCCUGUACUCUUUUCGCUUGCUAAUCAAUAGAAAGUCACGUUCGGCUAUUCAGGCCGACCAGAUUUUGUGUUGUGCUAGCCAUUCGGCUCAUCUCCCGGCUUAAUUUCCGAUUUUUCCAGCAUAUUCGGCUCAUCCAGCCCAACCGAAGAGUGAAAAGAGUUUUCGGACCCGGCUGAUUCGAUCCCUCAUCAGCCGAAUCGCUUGAUCCAGUCGAAGGGCGCAAACUUCGAGGGUCACUAUUCGCAGCCGUUCCUCACCCCGACGCACUUCCCGAGGAGGAUACUUGACCAGGUCAAGGGUCGGGACCUUGGAACCUCCAACACAAAUAUAUACCUCUAAAACCCACAAUAAUAUAAUAUAAGAAGAGCAAAAAUGUCAAGUUAUUUUAUAAAUUAAUCAGAGUUAAGCAUUUAAACUAUAGUUAAUUAAAGUUUUUUAACGGAUUCUAACAACAUGGACAUAUUUGAAAAUAUUAGAAUUUUUGCAGCGACGACAUAUGAAAACUGAACUUCGUAAAGGAUAUAUUUGCAAUUCGCUAUAUUUGCAGAGACAUAUAUGAAAUUAAUCCUUUUUUUUUUUAUAAACCUUAGUGAUCAAUUUUAUCAUAUUAGUUUUAUCAUAAUCCCUUUUUCUAAAACUAAAAUAUUAAUACAAAAAAUCUCCUAUAAGUACUUUUUUUUUUUUUUACUUUACCCCUGUCAUAAAAAAUCUAUAUUUUAUCCUCUUAAAAUUUAAGAUUGUAGCACUUAAUUCUUUAUUUUUAUAAUUUUGCCACUAUUUUAU
Molecule: long non-coding RNA, 1501 nt
Filed under: Ananas comosus (pineapple)
Lineage: Eukaryota; Viridiplantae; Streptophyta; Magnoliopsida; Poales; Bromeliaceae
Description: long non-coding RNA (ACOM_LNC031737)
Source: RNAcentral